AUGCUGGACCACUCCAAAGCAGAACCGUGGAAGAAGAGCCAACAGGCCUGGUCUGAAAAGGAAUGUGUUUCCAGAGGGACCUCGUCGGUGUGGAACCAAGAGGAAGAAGAGUUAGCAAGAGUCUGGCACCCUCCUGGCACUGCCCAGACAGAGCAACGCUGGAUGUGUGGGGCAAGCAUUCCUGACACUCGAAGAUCUCCCUUAAGACUCUGUUUCUGUUCCUUGUAUACCCUCUUCACCAAGAACUUUCUGAUUAGCAAUCUAGCUUCCCGGGAACACUAACAGAGCAAGACGUGUCUGUCACAGGGACAUGAGCAUUCCAGUGACCCUUAACCAUAAACACGUGACCCAGCCUCAGGCUUCAGCCUCAGUCCUUGUGAGUCUGAGCUGUAAUCUCAGUCUUAUUAAAAUAUUUUUUAUGUUUUUAAUUUAUUCUUGAGAGACAGAGACAGUGCAAGCAGGGGAGGGGCAGAGAAAGAGGGAGACACAGAAUCAAAAGCAGGCUCCAGGGUUCGAGCCCUGUAUCAGCACAGAGCCUGAUACGGGGCUCGAACCCACAAACCGUGAGAUUAUGACUUGAGCCAAAGUUGGAUGCUUAACUGACUGAGCCCCCCAGGUGCCCCAUGUAAUCCUAGCCUAGCGUACUCUGACGAUAUAAAUGGAGAACCAGACCUCCCAAUAUGCUGGCCCGAGCCCCUGAGACCAGGCCAAAUGGCCAGUGGUUGUCCUCUGCUGUCACUGUCGUGGUUCUAUGGCAGUAAGUCGCACCAUCCUUGGUAAUCCAGUGGACACGCUUGCAGCAUUGUACAGCAGAAGGGAAUGUCUCUGCGAGCAAAGUAUUUGUGUUGCAUGCAGGCGCUCAAAAGCGAGUAUAGGAGGAUGAGGGAAUGAGGAAUAGAAGAGAGUUCGAGAACGGGCACGGGAGGCACAACAUGAGCGAUGCCCAUGUUGUCGCUUACUUAUCACAUGCAGUUUUCUUCAUAGCACAGACGGCACAGCUGUGAAGAGUUUCUCCUAGACAAUACUGUUCUCACUGCUCUUGUUGUACCAUAUUUCCUGGGAACGUUACACCCUCUUAUUAUUAUUAUGAGUGCCAAAGCGUGAAGGACAGUUGUACGAUAACAUUUUAACUCAAGUGACUUAACCUCUGAGGAACUGGGUCAGCCUCGAGGGCUGUGAGGGCAUGACAGCUUCGCUCGGUCACAGUCCCCUCCCUGGCUCCUGGCUGCUGUUUCCCACAUAUUUGAUUCUUGGUGGUAGUGGCUUUGGUCCAUGAAAAAGUUAACAAACCCUUCAGGACCGCAAAUCAGAAUAGUCUCCCCCACCUCAAGCCAGACUCAGGGAGCCUUUCCUCUCCUGAGGGUGCGCCCAGAACGGUCCAGCAUCCUCUCAGGCCAAGCAGAAUCUGGUCGGCAAGUUUGCCGUCUAUAGGGAUGCCCGUGAAGCGGCUUAUUCAAGAUCUGUUUCUGGUAAAAUGUUUGCAGAGCCUUCAUGGAAAGCCUGCUUUUGGAAACCCAGCUCUCCUCCUGGGCGGGUCAGGAACGUGUGAUCCUAGAGAAGGCAUACCGGUCUGCAGAAUGGGGACCGACAUACCUACAUCUGUAUGCUUGUUGGGAAGCAGUCAAGCCCUCAGGAAGGGCUGUGACACAGAGUGUGGCACAUGGCAGACAGCUAGCAAGUAUGUGUUCACUCACAGUUUGUUCUGAAAGUCCCACUGUCCUGGGCGCCUACUGACUCAGUUGGUUAAGCGCCCAACUCUUUCUUUUUCUCAAAAUGUUUAUUUAUUUUGAGAGAGAGCAAACGACUGGGGGAGGGGCAGAGGAAGAGGAAGAGAGAAAGAAUCCCAAGCAGGCUCCAUGCUGUCAGCACAGAGCCCAAAGCAGGGCUCGAACUCACAAACUGUUAGAUCCUGACAGCUCAAAGACGAGUCAGACGCUUAACCAACUGAGCCCCCCGGUGCCCCCAGGGGUGUGCCACUCUUGAUCUCAGCAUAGGUGUUGAUCUCGGGGUCAUGAGUUCAAGCCCCAAGUUGGGCUCCGAGCUGAGUGGAACCUACUUAAAAACAAAAGUCCCAUUGUCCUGUGUAACUGCCUCUGUGGAAAUCCUUAUCAAAGCAUCUUGGAAUCCUACAUCUUCUCAAAGGCAGAGCAUGCAUCCCAGCUGCUCCUGGCACAGUGCUCAGCUCUCUUUAAGUGAGGGGGAAAGUGUCUAAGCUCCGCCCUCAUGUCGCCCACA
RNAcentral lists this long non-coding RNA (2235 nucleotides) under Suricata suricatta (meerkat). RNAcentral's name for it is "lncRNA (ENSSSUG00005017492.1)". Lineage: Eukaryota; Metazoa; Chordata; Mammalia; Carnivora; Herpestidae. The record is from RNAcentral.